UGGUUGCUGUGAUGACAAUCUUAGGACACCUUUGGAUUAACCGUGAAAAGAAAUAUAUUCUGAGCAAUCA
This 70-nucleotide small nucleolar RNA is filed under the name Ornithorhynchus anatinus (platypus). RNAcentral's name for it is "C/D box snoRNA bOaU58". It matches the Rfam family "Small nucleolar RNA SNORD58". From Rfam's summary of the family: snoRNA U58 is found in introns 1, 3 and 6 of the ribosomal protein RPL17 gene in humans. U58 is a member of the C/D class of snoRNA which contain C (UGAUGA) and D (CUGA) box motifs. The record is from RNAcentral. Lineage: Eukaryota; Metazoa; Chordata; Mammalia; Monotremata; Ornithorhynchidae.